RNAcentral lists this transfer RNA (69 nucleotides) under Salmo salar (Atlantic salmon). It matches the Rfam family "tRNA", at positions 8 to 63 of the family's 71-position model. Rfam says of the family: Transfer RNA (tRNA) molecules are approximately 80 nucleotides in length. Their secondary structure includes four short double-helical elements and three loops (D, anti-codon, and T loops). Further hydrogen bonds mediate the characteristic L-shaped molecular structure. tRNAs have two regions of fundamental functional importance: the anti-codon, which is responsible for specific mRNA codon recognition, and the 3' end, to which the tRNAs corresponding amino acid is attached (by aminoacyl-tRNA synthetases). tRNAs cope with the degeneracy of the genetic code in two manners: having more than one tRNA (with a specific anti-codon) for a particular amino acid; and 'wobble' base-pairing, i.e. permitting non-standard base-pairing at the 3rd anti-codon position. The record is from Rfam by way of RNAcentral. Lineage: Eukaryota; Metazoa; Chordata; Actinopteri; Salmoniformes; Salmonidae.
UGGCUCAGUUGGUAGAGCAUGGUGUUUGCAACGCCAGCAUGGUGUGUGGGUUGUGGGUUCGAUUCCCAC